RNAcentral lists this ribosomal RNA (492 nucleotides) under uncultured bacterium. Its description in RNAcentral is "partial 16S ribosomal RNA". It matches the Rfam family "Bacterial small subunit ribosomal RNA", at positions 29 to 507 of the family's 1533-position model. The record is from RNAcentral.
AGUGAACGCUGGCGGUAGGCCUAACACAUGCAAGUCGAACGGCAGCACAGUAAGAGCUUGCUCUUACGGGUGGCGAGUGGCGGACGGGUGAGGAAUACAUCGGAAUCUACUUUUUCGUGGGGGUUAACGUAGGGAAACUUACGCUAAUACCGCAUACGACCUACGGGUGAAAGCAGGGGAUCUUCGGACCUUGCGCGAUUGAAUGAGCCGAUGUCGGAUUAGCUAGUUGGCGGGGUAAAGGCCCACCAAGGCGGCGAUCCGUAGCUGGUCUGAGAGGAUGGUCAGCCACACUGGAGGUGGACCACGGUCCAGACUCCUACGGGAGGCAGCAGAGGGGAAUGUUGGACAGUAGGCGCAAGCCUGAUCCAGCCAUACCGCGUGGGUGGAGAAAGCCUUCGGGUUGUAAUGCCCUUUUGUUGGGAAAGAAAAGCAGCAGGUUAAUACCCAGCUGUUCUGACGGUACCCAAAGAAUAAGCACCGGCUAACUUCGUG